Molecule: non-coding RNA, 409 nt
Organism: Sinocyclocheilus anshuiensis
Lineage: Eukaryota; Metazoa; Chordata; Actinopteri; Cypriniformes; Cyprinidae
Source: the annotation of a RefSeq genome assembly
CAUCACACAAGACACAACAACAACAAUGAACAACAUCAUCAUCCUCAUCUGGACACUGACGCUCUGCAUUCAGGAGAUCUGGGGCCAAGUGACAGUGACUCAGAAUCCAGAAAUAGAAUCCAUCAAACAAGGAGAAACUGUUACGAUCAGCUGUAAAACCAGUCAGCCGAUUUCUGGCUGUAGUGACUGUGUGUCUUGGUAUCAGCAGAAACCUGGAGAAGCUCCUAAACUUCUCAUAUAUUACACAAGCAGCCUCCAGUCAGGAACUCCAUCUAGAUUCAGUGGCAGUGGAUCUAGCUACGGAAGUGAUUUCUCUCUCACCAUCAGUGGAGUCCAGACUGAAGAUACAGGAGAUUAUUACUGUAUGAGUUACCACAGCAUCAACAGUAAAUAUGUGUUCACACAGUGA